CUCAUACUAUUUGGAAUUACGAGUUCCCCUGUUUCUACUAUGCUGGAACUUGGUGUGGACAAGGAUCAGGUCUUACCAAGACAUCCCCCAGUCCCCUGCUCUGUUUCAAUAAGUGGUUCUUGAAGAAGAAGACCUGGGGGAAGAAGGUCAAAGGCCCUCAGGACCCCUGAGGGGUGUCGGAUCCGUGGCUUAGAGCCUCCGCUGAUCUGUGCUUGUCCUGUAGCUGAAGCCAGCCAGCAGAUGGCAGAGCUAUCCGAGGUGUUGGUGCUGAGGCUGGAAGGCUAUGAGAGGCAGCAGAAGGAGAUCACUCAGCUGCAGGCCGAGAUCACCAAGCUACAACAGCGUUGUCAGUCUUAUGGGGCCCAGACGGAGAAACUGCAGCAGCAGCUGGCCUCAGAGAAGGGAGUCCACCCAGAGGUGAGGUUCCAUGGUUCCCAGAUCUGGAAGGCAGGUCCCUGGGGACUACUUGGCUCUCCAGAGAAGACAAGCAACUUCCAGGAAGAGCUUUUCUGCCUUCCACCCUCACUGGCCUAUGGCCCAGCAGAUAUCUGCUUAUUUGAGGCCUGAAUGGGGUAGAGAUCAGGAUCUUGUCCA
Molecule: long non-coding RNA, 594 nt
Filed under: Rattus norvegicus (Norway rat)
Lineage: Eukaryota; Metazoa; Chordata; Mammalia; Rodentia; Muridae
Description: long non-coding RNA NONRATT006011
Source: RNAcentral